This 208-nucleotide unclassified non-coding RNA is filed under the name Hevea brasiliensis (rubber tree). The record is from RNAcentral. Lineage: Eukaryota; Viridiplantae; Streptophyta; Magnoliopsida; Malpighiales; Euphorbiaceae.
AUAAGAAUUAUCUCUUUCUACAUUAAUAUUAAUUAUCUUGUCAUUCUUGGAAUCCUGUUAUCCCUACUUUAUAAGGAAUUAUUUCAUUUUCCUCUUGUGUAUAUCUUCUUCCUUUUUAGAUGAGUUUCCUAUUGUAUUUAUAGGAUUCCCUAUAAAGGUAGAUUUCAUGUGUAUAAAAUGAUAGCACGUAUGAGAUCUUGUACACAAU